AUGGCAUGAUGGGGACAUGAGUUCCUUUAAUCUUUCCCAUGACUCAUGGAACUGCUCACCAUCUUGUUGCGAAAAGCUAGUGAGAUCUCAUCUUAUCU
RNAcentral lists this small nucleolar RNA (98 nucleotides) under Cephalotus follicularis. RNAcentral's name for it is "Plant small nucleolar RNA R71". It matches the Rfam family "Plant small nucleolar RNA R71". Rfam says of the family: R71 is a member of the C/D box family of snoRNAs containing the C (UGAUGA) and D (CUGA) box motifs. Multiple nearly identical copies of this snoRNA have been identified in Arabidopsis, and it is thought to function as a 2'-O-ribose methylation guide for 18S ribosomal RNA. The record is from Rfam by way of RNAcentral. Lineage: Eukaryota; Viridiplantae; Streptophyta; Magnoliopsida; Oxalidales; Cephalotaceae.